GGCCCCGUAGCUCAACUGGAUAGAGCGCCGGCCUUCUAAGCCGAUGGUUGCAGGUUCAAGUCCUGCCGGGGUCGCCA
RNAcentral lists this transfer RNA (77 nucleotides) under Euryhalocaulis sp. Its description in RNAcentral is "tRNA-Arg". It matches the Rfam family "tRNA". Rfam says of the family: Transfer RNA (tRNA) molecules are approximately 80 nucleotides in length. The record is from RNAcentral. Lineage: Bacteria; Pseudomonadati; Pseudomonadota; Alphaproteobacteria; Maricaulales; Maricaulaceae.